RNAcentral lists this ribosomal RNA (401 nucleotides) under uncultured bacterium. Its description in RNAcentral is "partial 16S ribosomal RNA". It matches the Rfam family "Bacterial small subunit ribosomal RNA", at positions 338 to 755 of the family's 1533-position model. The record is from RNAcentral.
CCUACGGGAGGCAGCAGUGGGGAAUAUUGCACAAUGGGGGAAACCCUGAUGCAGCAACGCCGCGUGAAGGAAGACGGUUUUCGGAUUGUAAACUUCUGUUCUUAGGGAAGAAGAAUGACGGUAGCGAAGGAGCAAGCCACGGCUAACUACGUGCCAGCAGCCGCGGUAAUACGGAGGGUGCAAGCGUUACUCGGAAUCACUGGGCGGAAAGAGCGCGUAGGCGGGAUAGCAAGUCAGAUGUGAAAUCCUAUGGCUUAACCAUAGAACUGCAUUUGAAACUUUUAUUCUAGAGUAUGGGAGAGGUCGUUGGAAUUCUUGGUGUCGUGGUCAAAUCCGUAGAGAUCAAGCGGACUACUCAUUGCGAAGGCGACCUGCUAGAACAUACCUGACGCUGAUGCGCG